This is a long non-coding RNA of Sardina pilchardus (European sardine), 478 nucleotides long. RefSeq lists it as uncharacterized. The transcript has 3 exons. Lineage: Eukaryota; Metazoa; Chordata; Actinopteri; Clupeiformes; Clupeidae. The record is from RefSeq and is a predicted model, not a curated record.
CUUGAGUCAGCCCAAAUCGCCAACAAAUACCGAUUCAGUCCAAAAUGUUCAUGGGAUGCAUCUCGUGCAAAUCUUUGGUUGGUCAGGGUGACUGGCUUCAGUAGUGGAUGACCUUGUCGGAUGACCCAUCUGUCGUACUGGGCCGAUACGGGGGAGGUGAGACAGCUAUGCAGAGCCUGAACACUCUGAUUUCCACCUCCGCAGAUGGUGGGUCACCUUAAGUAAAGACAAACACAAAGGUCAAAGGGAGAAGUUUAAGAUCUGAGGAUGAAAACAGUUCUGUAGAUUGUGAAGACUGGACUGGAAAACAAGACAAGAAGCAGGUGACAGCUUUUUGUUUUUAAAGUUAGAACUUAGACAAGAUGUAAACACACACAUCUGAUUAGCAGAACACUCAAAACCCUGAGGAUUACUUUGUUGUUGUUACAUCUACAUGUUUGUUUCAUUUGAUCUGACAUCCGUCAAUCAUCACAUGAGU